UUCUUCCUCUCACGCCGCCCCCGCCCCCACACCCACGCGCCGUUGCAGCUGGGAACUCCUCCCCUAUCACCCUUUCCUCUCAAUGGAGCGCCACCACCGUCUUCUUCCUCUCUGGAGUACCCUUCCUCACACUACUCAAAUCAAAAAUCCAAAAUCUUUUAUGUGAGGGUCAAGUUUCUUGAAACUAUAGGAGAGGGAUACGUUCUAGAAAAAGAUGAAGAUGAGGAAACUGAAGAGGAAUACGAAGUGGAUGUAGAUCUUGAAGGGGACAUGUAUCUCGAAGAAACAAUUCUAGAUUUGGGCCUCCUGGGAUUGUUUAAAACCCCAUUAGAAUCAUCUUUUUUGGAAGAUAAUAAAGGAGGCCUUCUUCAAGCUAUGAUUUUGGGGUUUUCAGAAACAGCAGCCACCAUCUUCACAACCAAGAAAGUACAUACACAUACAUACAAAAUAAAAAAUGAAAAUUCACCUCUCAAAUUGUACUUUCAAACCCAAAUAAACUUACCUAGAAGCCCUUCUAUCAUCACCAUACGCAAACUUGCAAGAAAAAUCAAGAAAUCUCACUGUAACUCAAGAAACCAUAAUGGGUCUUUGCAAGAUUCCACAUGUUCCCAAGAUUUCUGGGUAUAAAUGUAAUGGAUUAUAGUUAAGCUAGUUUCCCACAAAAAAAAAAAAAAAUUGAAAAAAGUUGUAAUUUUCCGACGACGACAACAAUGGUGUGGAUUUUGGAUUUGAGUUAGGUUUGGGGGUGGGGUGAGAGGAAGAAGAUGGAUUGUCUUUUUUUUUAUUUUUU
Molecule: long non-coding RNA, 790 nt
Filed under: Olea europaea subsp. europaea
Lineage: Eukaryota; Viridiplantae; Streptophyta; Magnoliopsida; Lamiales; Oleaceae
Source: RNAcentral